Talpa occidentalis (Iberian mole) is the source of this 1486-nucleotide long non-coding RNA. RefSeq lists it as uncharacterized. The transcript is spliced from 4 exons. Lineage: Eukaryota; Metazoa; Chordata; Mammalia; Eulipotyphla; Talpidae. The record is from RefSeq and is a predicted model, not a curated record.
AAGAACUGGGGUAUAGGCCAAAGGUGUGUGUGUGGGGGGUGAGAGGAUUCACCAGAGACAGAGUGGGGAACAGAGCAGGUAGACAGUCUGAAAUACACUGCUGAGGGGAGCAGUGGGCAAGUCAGGAGAGGUCUGCUAUGCCAUGUGGGUAGCUCCCUGGCCAGGUGGGGAUUGAACUUGUGCUGCAGUGACUGCGGAUAGCUUCCUGGUGCUGUGCUUAACCCCUUGCACCACCAGGGAGGCCCCUGAAUCCCAUGUUUUGUUGCCCAUGUGUGAUCAUUCUGUGUGCUGCCUUGCUGGGCUCCUUAAACGGUAGUUCUGAAUGACCUACCCUACCACUCCCACAGCCCCCAACAAAGGGAGGCACUCACUACAGUUUUAAACUUAAUUAUAUCUUUAUUUUCAUGGGACAUAUGCACAUGUUUCCUAUUAAAGUGUACACUCUAAGGGCAGAGGUUAUGUCACACUGGUCUUUUCUGUGCUCAGCACUGGCCUGUUGUGGGCACACAGUAGUGGGUGGUAAAUGAAUAGAUUGAUGAACUAUUGGAUCAUUUUUAGCUGAAGAUGAUUCAAAUGAAAACUUUCAGGAGACAAACAACAUGGUAUAGUUUCUUGAAACCCAUUGUUAUUUUCUCAUAGGCUGAAAGUAUUUUUAGAAUGGAAGUUUUCUUGGAACUCAACAUGAUUAAUCAGCAGAAAUAGCCAGUGGUAGCAGGGACAUCUAUGUGCCUUCAGGAUUUUACUUCUUGGUGGAAGCCGAGAGUUAACUUGCCUUUCCGAAGAAUUCUCUUAGAGGCAAUCAUAAGGGAUCUUUGAGUGUUUGAGGAAUCGCCACUGAUAGAUCAUGUGGCCCUCAGAUGACCACAGAGAUCGCUCCAAAAUGAAGUUCUCCAGAAGGGAUGUGUUCCCGUUGUGCCAAGGUGAAGGGCAGUGUGCCUGCAGACAGAGCUGAGCUAUCAUCCCAUUCCAGUCACCAAAUGGAGUUUGCUGCUUGGAAGUACCUUUGGCAAAGACAAGAGGAGACCCAUUUCUCAAGCUCAAGGAAGACAGGAAAAGUUGUGAUUGGAUACUGCCAUUGCCAAUCAUCUUGGAUAUGAUGGAAAGUGAUUUCCUGAAGAAAGAAAUGCUUUCUAGAUGGUGUUCACCGUGCUUAACUGUGGACAGAUCUUGUUGAGUUCACCUUUUCUAACCUGGGGGAUAUUGAUUGUCCAUUUGGAUUUUUUAAAUGUUGACUAUCCAAGGAGAAAUAGAUUAUGUUAGAAGUUUGAUAAACUAAUGCAACUAAUAUCUAAUAAUUUCUUUUAUAAUGCAGUGUUACUUUUUUUUUUAAAGAUUCAUUUAUUUAUACAAGAACUGGGGUACAGUCCAGAUGUGUGGGAGGGUGAGAGGAUUCACCAGAGAUAGAGUGGGGAACAGAACAGACAGACUAACUGAAAUACACUGCUGAGGGGAGCAGCGGGCGAGACACGAGAGGUCUGCCAUUCCA